GGAUUGUCCAAUGUGACACUGCAAAGUCCUUGAGGAGGGCAAGCCCUGCUCAGUAACAUCCAAGCCAUCCGUGUGCUGUCUACCACAUUCCCGUCCUGAAUCCAAACCCGGCUCUUUGCUGCUCCCUGGGAAGGAAAUGGAUCCUAUCCCAUUGAAAACCAGUACAUCAGCCCAUUCUUCAGCCAGCACACCCUGUCUCUCUUUGUCUCACACCUGGACACCUGCUCCAGAUGUAUUCUGCGAGGGACAGGAUCAAAACUGCACUUAAAAUCCUGAAAUAGAACCUGCAUUGCCUUCCCAUCAUCCAUGAGACGGGUGACCUUAUGUUAGGGAACCAGUGAGUGGGAGCCAGGGUGCGCUUGAGUUUCGGGAAUGCCGCAUCUCCUCGUCUCCUCAUUUCCCAGGCAGACCCUGCCACGAGGGCGUGGCCGAAGCGGCCCGAGGAUCCGGGCAUUCUUAGGAGAAUGCUGGGCAAGGGCCACAGGUCGGUGACUGCAGGAAAUUGCCAGCAGGGGAGGCAGCCUUCCUUCGUACCUGAUGUGGAUUCCCUUCCCCGGACAUCCUAGAGAUAUUUUUAGGAUUGGUGACUGAUAAACACAAUGUGUUUUGAUGGA
Molecule: non-coding RNA, 614 nt
Organism: Taeniopygia guttata (zebra finch)
Lineage: Eukaryota; Metazoa; Chordata; Aves; Passeriformes; Estrildidae
Source: RefSeq, a predicted model, not a curated record